CAGCCGCGGGUAAUUCCAGCUCCAAUAGCGUAUAUUAAAGUUGUUGCAGUUAAAAAGCUCGUAGUUGAAUUUCGGGGUUAGUAGGUUGGUCAUGCCUCUGGUAUGUACUGGUCUCACUGAUUCCUCCUUCCUGAUGAGCCGUAAUGCCAUUAAUUUGGUGUUGCGGGGAAUUUGGACUGUUACUUUGUAAAAAUUAGAGUGUUUAAAGCAAGCUAACGCUUGAAUACAUUAGCAUGGAAUAAUGAAAUAGGACGUUCGAUCCUAUUUUGUUGGUUUCUAGGAUUGACGUAAUGAUUAAUAGGGAUAGUUAGGGGCAUUAGUAUUCAAUUGUCAGAGGUGAAAUUCUUGGAUUUAUUGAAGACUAACUACUGCGAAAGCAUUUGCCAAGGAUGUUUUCAUUAAUCAAGAACGAAAGUUAGGGGAUCGAAGACGAUCAGAUACCGUCGUAGUCUUAACCAUAAACUAUGCCGACUAGGGAUCGGAUGAUGUUAAUUUUUUAAUGACUCAUUCGGCGCCUUACG
This 521-nucleotide unclassified non-coding RNA is filed under the name uncultured Glomeromycotina. RNAcentral's name for it is "SSU rRNA". It matches the Rfam family "Eukaryotic small subunit ribosomal RNA", at positions 571 to 1092 of the family's 1831-position model. The record is from RNAcentral. Lineage: Eukaryota; Fungi; Glomeromycota.